Molecule: long non-coding RNA, 1204 nt
Organism: Amphiprion ocellaris (clown anemonefish)
Lineage: Eukaryota; Metazoa; Chordata; Actinopteri; Pomacentridae
Exons: 3
Source: RefSeq, a predicted model, not a curated record
UUCUAAUUUCCUUUGCAGAAAAGCCUGAUGAAAACACAAACCUGAUGGGUGUGAUUCUGGCUGCUCUGACUGUUUUCCUUGUGAUGGUCGUCAUCGGUCUGGUGGUAAAAAUCAGGAAACUUCAGAAAGCUGAUGAAGACAAAGAUGAUCAACCAAGCCAGAAUCUGGGCUCUGAUGACUUGAACUAUGCAACAGUGACAUUUGCUAAAAGAGGAGGAAGAAGAGAGAUGGAGUCAAAUGUUGUGUAUGCUGCCACCAGAUAAACGCAACUGCAGCUCAGAGUGAAACUGAUGCCUCCUCAGUCUGCUGCUUGUCUGAGUCUUGUGGUUGGGGUUGUUACCAUUACAACUGUCAGAAAAAUGCCAUUUUGCAGUAAACGUCCUUCACUGUCUGAAAAAUGUGAUUUGUGUUGAAGAAUAAGAACAUCUGUGUAUGUCCAGACUCUUUGAUAGUGAGAGUCAGAGUGAGCAGCAAGUGGAGGAGAGAGAACACAUCACUGGUUAGACAGGAAGAGACAACACAGUGUGGUCUGAGGACAGCUGAGGUGGAAAUCAUGAGGCCUGUUAGCUUGAUGCUUUGUAAUUGGAUAUUUUAAUUAUGUCAAUGUGCUUCAUGUCUGAAUUAAAUACAGAAUUAACUUGAAAAAGACUAGUAAUUGCAUUUACACACUGAUCAGCCACAACAUUAAAACCACCUGCUUAAGAUUCUAAAGAUUCCUCUCAUGUUGCCAAAACAUCACAGGACCUCUGGGAGUGUCCAGUGUUUAAACACAUUUUGAAAUCAACAAGCAUCACACACAUAAGUAGAAAUUUUUCACAUAUUUUUUUUUCUCUAACCUCCAGCAUGCACGCACUACAAGAUUUGAAAAUAAUGGCACAUCACGAAAUGCAUGAGGAAACAGAUGCACACAAAAUGGCGAGUGUGGUGCAGCAACUUUCUGUAAUGCUAAUAAUUCAUUGCAGUGAGAAAAACACAGAAGCAGAAGGCUAAAUAACCGAGUCUGGAUGAGAAAAUGGUUGGGAAGAUGUGGUCAACAUCAGGCCAAAACUCAUGUAGUGUUCUGACAUCAGUGAAGCUCCUGACCUCUAUCUGCAAGACGUUAUAUAUAACACUGCUCCCACAUGAUUAGCUAAUUAGGGAAGUACAUUUAAAAAAGCAUUUAUAGAGAUCGCUUCUAAUAAACUGCUCUCCUUCAUCAGUACAA